This is a long non-coding RNA of Danio rerio (zebrafish), 2573 nucleotides long. The record is from Ensembl. Lineage: Eukaryota; Metazoa; Chordata; Actinopteri; Cypriniformes; Danionidae.
CAUAAAUACUUCAUCUAUCUGGAAUGUCCCAUUUUAGUUUUCAUCAAACGAACUUUCACCAACAAGUGCUUACUACAUGGAGGCUUAUUUAAAAACAUAACUUCCCCCUUAUAGUUUUCUUAUUUGAAAUAAUAUCAAUAUCUUGUAUAAAAAUAAAUCACAAUUGGUUUAUCAAUGUGCUGAUAUUAGUGAAUCAGUUAUUUAAUAAUGAAAGGGCAUUAUUUACAUACAGACUUUAUUGCAAAAUACUUAUUACAAUACAGGAAUUUAUGGUGCUUACUGAUGCAGGGAAUGGAUAGUAUCACAAUUAAUGAGACACAAAGUUAGUGUUCCUGAUGUCAAGUAUGUCCCUAAGUAACCAAAAUAGUAUAAAACGAUAUGUGUCAAAAGCAAACAGUUAAACAUUAAACUGCUGGUUACUUUAAAACUAACCUUCGUCUGGGAGAUCACAAGGACAUAAUGAUAUUUUAUCUGUUAUCUGGUUGCAGGUGUCAGAUUUAUAGAAUGAUGAGGGAGCAACCAUUUUUAUUUAAUUAAAAGCUUAGUGAGAAGUGAAGUGUCAAAAAAUCAGCGACGCAAUUUAAAUUCCACUGAAUUUCUCACUGUAACAUAUUUUGGCCCCUUUGGUGUGAUCAUGGUAUUCCAGUGACACUCCCAGUCACGUGAUAUUGGCAACAUAAAUAGUGGAUCAGAAUCAAUCUGAGAGUCAGACUGUGUGAUAACACAUUUAUAUUUCAUGCAGACUUUAAUCAGCACCACUGCAGUGAUGUCAAGCGAGUGGACCAAGGUGAUGCCUGUCUCUUCAGAGGUCAAAGACAUGUGCAAUAAGGUGAAGCAACAAAUAGAGCUGGGAGCUGGAGUCUCUUUUACAACCUACCAUCCUCAGAAUUAUAUUACCAAAACGGAUCAAAACCCUGCAACAAACACAUUUGUGGUGAAGGUGUGCGCGUGUGUGUGUGUGUGUGUGUGUGUGUGUGUGUGUGUGUGUGUGUGUGUGUGUGUGUGUAUUUAUGGAGUUUGUACUUACAUAUUGUUCUAAGCCAGUGUUUCUCAACUGGAGGGAACAUUUUCAGUGGGUCGCGGAGUGUGUGGUCAAAAAAACAACAAAUGUUUAAUUUUUAACUUAUUUGGCUUAUAUAAGACUUUUAUUUUAAAAUGCAUGAGCGACAACUGUACCGUUUGACAUGUGACAUUUCAUUUAAUUAUAGCAACAAAUAUGUCGAAGCGCAAGUACGAUCCUGAAUAUGUAAAGUAUGGAUUUACAUAUAUUGACGACAAAAAAGGCUUAAAACCUAAGUGUCAUAUGUAGUAAUGUGCUCUCACAAAAGCACUUUUAGAAACCAAACAUUUGUCGUUUUUACUUUGUAAUAUUUUUAUAAUUUGAUACAUUUUGUUAAAAGACAAUAAUAAAAUAGUGUUUAUUUCUAAGUCUUGGUGAAUUUCUUAUGAUGUAUCUGUCACUACUUGGGUAUGUUAACAAAUAAAUGCAAAUGAAUUAUAAUUCCUUAAAUUAUAUUAUAGUUCCUAAAAAAUUUGGGUCGCAUGUUGAUGACCAUUUAAAAAUGUGGGUCCCAAGCCCAAACCAGUUGAAACCCUUUUUAUGCUUUCAACAUCAUCCAACUCUAACCCCUUUGCUGAUUUGAUUUGUGUGGGUUUUGUCUGCUGGUUUAUUGCAUCAAAUCUAUCAUGAUAUCAUCUGGGUACUUCACGGCUACUAUUUCACCAAUACUAAGAUUUCAAAUUUAAUGUAUGCUUGGCUCACUUAAUGUUUUCCACAUGCUACAUGUUCGGGAAAUAUGUGAUUUCAUAUGCAGUCAGAUUCAUGAAUAAAAUAGUAAAAUGCUUAUAUUGUCAUUGAUCCUACUUGAUUUACUUAUAUUCUAAUCACCAGAAAUAUUUCUCAGGAAAAGUUUUCAAAAGUGAACUUGUUUAGUGUUUGUCAGUGUUAAAUGUGUGUAUUUCUCUUCCUGUCAGGUGGACACUGGAAAUUACCAGUGUGUUCAUGCAAAGAUACUUGAAACCGGGCAAGGAUUUACUGUGCCAGAAGUCAAAUACCCCCUACCCAUCAGUGAGCCUCUGGUACCCUUUUGAACACUUCUGAACCACAUACAAUCAUACUCUGUCUUAUAACAGAAAUGAAAAUCAGAAAGGCUGUUAAAAUCUUUUUCAUUCCUUAAUAUCAAAGUCAAUAUUGACAAAUGUAAUGAUUCGUAAGGAGUUUUAUCAUGCAUAUAUUCAUUUAUAAUCGAUUAAAUCGUUUUAUAGUAUAAUUGUUUAUAAUAAUCAUUGAUCAUAAAUGCUUUAUAUAACCGUUCAUUGAUCUGUCAUUUUAAACAAAUAUUUCAUUGUUAUACUGUAUGAUUGUGUUCUUUCAAUGGAUAUUGCUUUGCCUUUGCAAGACUUGUUGUGUGGGACAGUACUUUUUUGUCUAUUCUAUUCUACUGGGUUUGGUCUAAUACCAAUUGUUGGAUUCAUGAUGAUCAUGCAAAAUCAGCAUUAAAAACUAAAUGAAUAAACUCUUCUCAAUUACCAUCUCUUUGUUUCAUGCUUUUUACUUUUCCCUGGCAUCCUGU